This 679-nucleotide ribosomal RNA is filed under the name fungal endophyte. Its description in RNAcentral is "eukaryotic LSU rRNA". The stretch from base 93 to 679 matches the Rfam family "Eukaryotic large subunit ribosomal RNA", at positions 1 to 592 of the family's 3401-position model. Lineage: Eukaryota; Fungi. The record is from RNAcentral.
UCGAGCGUAUGGGGCUUUGUCACCCGCUCGGGACGGACUCGUCGGCGCUGGUCUUCCUCCAGGCGACCCUUCGGGGCUCGUCUUCCUUCGGUUGACCUCGGAUCAGGUAGGGUUACCCGCUGAACUUAAGCAUAUCAAUAAGCGGAGGAAAAGAAACCAACAGGGAUUGCCUCAGUAACGGCGAGUGAAGCGGCAAGAGCUCAAAUUUGAAAUCUGGCUCCUUCGGGGCCCGAGUUGUAAUUUGGAGAGGAUGCUUCGGGCGUGGCCCCCAUCUAAGUGCCCUGGAACGGGCCGUCAUAGAGGGUGAGAAUCCCGUCUGGGAUGGGUGGUCCCGCCCGUGUGAAGCUCCUUCGAAGAGUCGAGUUGUUUGGGAAUGCAGCUCUAAGAGGGUGGUAAAUUUCAUCUAAAGCUAAAUAUUGGCCGGAGACCGAUAGCGCACAAGUAGAGUGAUCGAAAGAUGAAAAGCACUUUGAAAAGAGAGUUAAACAGCACGUGAAAUUGUUGAAAGGGAAGCGUUGGCAACCAGACUCGCCCGGGAGGGCUCAGCCGGCACGUGUGCCGGUGCACUCCCCCCCGGGCGGGCCAGCGUCGGUUUGGGCGGUCGGUCAAAGGUCCCGGGAAUGUAGCACCCUCCGGGGUGCCUUAUAGCCCGAGGCGCCAUGCGACCUGCCCGGACCGA